AUACGUAGGGUGCGAGCGUUGUCCGGAAUUACUGGGCGUAAAGAGCUCGUAGGUGGUUUGUCGCGUCGUCUGUGAAAUUCCGGGGCUUAACUCCGGGCGUGCAGGCGAUACGGGCAUAACUUGAGUACUGUAGGGGAGACUGGAAUUCCUGGUGUAGCGGUGAAAUGCGCAGAUAUCAGGAGGAACACCGGUGGCGAAGGCGGGUCUCUGGGCAGCAACUGACGCUGAGGAGCGAAAGCAUGGGUAGCGAACAGGAUUAGAUACCCUGGUAGUCCAUGCCGUAAACGUUGGGCGCUAGGUGUAGGGGUCUUCCACGACUUCUGUGCCGUAGCUAACGCAUUAAGCGCCCCGCCUGGGGAGUACGGCCGCAAGGCUAAAACUCAAAGGAAUUGACGGGG
This 398-nucleotide ribosomal RNA is filed under the name uncultured bacterium. Its description in RNAcentral is "partial 16S ribosomal RNA". It matches the Rfam family "Bacterial small subunit ribosomal RNA", at positions 523 to 918 of the family's 1533-position model. The record is from RNAcentral.